CUCGUAGGCGGUUUGUCGCGUCUGCUGUGAAAACUGGAGGCUCAACCUCCAGCCUGCAGUGGGUACGGGCAGACUAGAGUGCGGUAGGGGAGAUUGGAAUUCCUGGUGUAGCGGUGGAAUGCGCAGAUAUCAGGAGGAACACCGAUGGCGAAGGCAGAUCUCUGGGCCGUAACUGACGCUGAGGAGCGAAAGCGUGGGGAGCGAACA
Molecule: ribosomal RNA, 207 nt
Filed under: uncultured bacterium
Lineage: Bacteria
Description: partial 16S ribosomal RNA
Rfam family: Bacterial small subunit ribosomal RNA
Source: RNAcentral